UCAUGGCUCAGAACGAACGCUGGCGGCAGGCUUAACACAUGCAAGUUGAGCGGGAUUGUUGAGUAGCUUGCUAUUAACAUGAGAGCAGCGCACUGGUGAGUAACACGUGGGAACAUACCUUUUGGUGGGGGACAACAGUUGGAAACGACUGCUAAUACCGCAUAAGCCCUAAGGGGGAAAGAUUUAUUGCCGAAAGAUUGGCCCGCGGAAGAUUAGGUAGUAGGUGGGGUAACGGCCUACCUAGCCGACGAUCUAUAGCUGGUCUGAGAGGACGAUCAGCCACAUUGGAACUGAGACACGGUCCAGACUCCUACGGGAGGCAGCAGUGAGGAAUAUUGGGCAAUGGAGGGAACUCUGACCCAGCCCAUGCCGCGUGAGUGAAGAAGGUUUUCGGAUUGUAAAACUCUUUCAGAUGGGAAGAUGAUGACGGUACCAUCAGAAGAAGCACCGGCUAACUUCGUGCCAGCCGCGGC
This 473-nucleotide ribosomal RNA is filed under the name uncultured bacterium. RNAcentral's name for it is "bacterial SSU rRNA". It matches the Rfam family "Bacterial small subunit ribosomal RNA", at positions 17 to 518 of the family's 1533-position model. The record is from RNAcentral.